This 196-nucleotide unclassified non-coding RNA is filed under the name uncultured Trechisporales. Its description in RNAcentral is "sequence contains ITS1". The record is from RNAcentral. Lineage: Eukaryota; Fungi; Basidiomycota; Agaricomycetes; Trechisporales.
UUGAAACUUCAUCCGGGGCGCCGCGGCCCUCAGCACCGGUGGAAACGCCGUGAUGCGGGGACCGCGCGUGCACUCGUCCAAACCAAACCCCUGUGAACCUUACGGGAUCGCCCGGGUUAGUGCCGUUCCGCUUUAUACAAACACUUAAUAAAAGAAUGAACUGAAGGCGGUCUGACCGCUGGAUAACAAACUGAAA